Molecule: long non-coding RNA, 665 nt
Organism: Gallus gallus (chicken)
Lineage: Eukaryota; Metazoa; Chordata; Aves; Galliformes; Phasianidae
Source: Ensembl
CUAACUCUGUCCCUUUACUCAGCUGCACCUAUUUAUUCAAUUUAAAUUGGAAGCCCAGCACCAUGGACCGGGACACCUGACUUACUAAUCUUCUGUGACUUUUGGGAGAGCAACAUGUGCUCGUGGGGCCACGACAGCUGAUUACUCCUGUUAUCAGGAUGAUCUUUAUUCUCAGUAAGGCCUUUGCAGAUGUGUGGUUCCAGCUUAUCGCAUCACUUUGAUAGGAGUCGCACUGUGCUCUUUUGACCCUUUGACCACUGUUCAUUAGAAAUUCAUUGCUAUGCUUCCCUCAAGAAAUGUAUACAUCUCCUCAGACAUGUUUCAACUCCAUAUAACACUAAAAUAUAUUUGAAAUCCCUUUUGCUCAUUCAAAAAAUACUGCAAAACUGUGCUUUUGCAUCGCCUCCCACCCAAGAAUGUCAGAACCCUUUACAGAUAUGAAUCCACACAGGAAAAGGAAAUGUCACAGUCACAAGAUGGGCAAUGAUGGAAAAGGUUUCAGGAACUGCCAUAUCUCACACAGCAGUGCCAUGACGGUAUACAGUACAUACUGCAUUAUAUUCUUUUUGAUGUCUACCCUUUGCCUUAACCACAGCAGCCCACAGGAGCACAUUCCUCUCUCCUUUCUGAGAAUUGAUUUAUCACCAUAAAGAUGGUUUAUUAUA